RNAcentral lists this ribosomal RNA (729 nucleotides) under Nipponaphera suduirauti. RNAcentral's name for it is "partial 16S ribosomal RNA". The stretch from base 1 to 572 matches the Rfam family "Bacterial large subunit ribosomal RNA", at positions 1839 to 2925 of the family's 2925-position model. Lineage: Eukaryota; Metazoa; Mollusca; Gastropoda; Neogastropoda; Cancellariidae. The record is from RNAcentral.
UUGUAGAUAAGGAGUCGGACCUGCCCGGUGAGUUCAUUUAACGGCCGCGGUACCCUGACCGUGCGAAGGUAGCAUAAUAAUUUGCCUUAUAAUUGGAGGCUUGUAUGAAUGGUUUGACUUGAGCAAAUCUGUCUCUUUAUAAUUUUGUAGAAUUUUAUUUUUAGGUGAAGAAGCCUGGAUAUAAUUAAUAGACAAGAAGACCCUAUCGAGCUUUAAAGAAAUUAGUAGGGUUAAAGUGUUAGAUAUAUAUGUAGAAAAUUUAACUACUAAAAAUUUUGGUUGGGGCGACUGAGGAACAAGUAGAGCUUCCUAGGUUUAAAAUACUUUCGUGUGUUGAUCCAAAUUUUUUGAUUAAAGGAAUUAGUUACCGUAGGGAUAACAGCAUUAUCUUCUUUGAGAGUUCUUAUCGAAAAGGGGGUUUGUGACCUCGAUGUUGGACCAGAAUGUCCUAAAGAUGCAGAAGUCUUUGAGGGUUGGUCUGUUCGACCAUUAAAAUUCUACGUGAUCUGAGUUCAGACCGGCGUGAGCCAGGUCAGUUUCUAUCUUUAAUUUUUCUAUGCAAGCUUAGUACGAAAGGACCAGGUUGUAGUAUUAUAUGUUAUAGGUGAAGUAAUAUAAUUGGCGGUUGUCAAAUUAGUAGAUAUUAAUGCAAUUGAUUUAGGAUCAGUAGAUAUAGGUGAAAGUCCUUUAUUUGACAUAGUAAGGAUGGCAGAUUAGUGCAUUAGGUUU